RNAcentral lists this ribosomal RNA (447 nucleotides) under uncultured archaeon. RNAcentral's name for it is "partial 16S ribosomal RNA". It matches the Rfam family "Archaeal small subunit ribosomal RNA", at positions 330 to 747 of the family's 1478-position model. The record is from RNAcentral.
GUGCACCAGUCGCGAAAACUCCGCAAUACGCGAAAGCGUGACGGGGCCAUCCCGAGUGCCGUCCGCUGAGGAUGGCUUUCCCACAGUCUAAAAAGCUGUGGGAAUAAGGGGAGGGUAAGUCUGGUGUCAGCCGCCGCGGUAAUACCAGCUCCCCGAGUGGUUGGGACGAUUAUUGGGUCUGAAGCGUCCGUAGCCGGCCGGAAAAGUUCCCCGUUAAAUCUGGCGAUCCAAUCGUUGGGCUGCGGGGAAUACUCUUCGGCUUGGGGGCGAGGGAGGUCGGCGGUAGUCCCGGGGUAGGGGCGAAAUCCUAUAAUCCCGGGAGGACCACCAGUGGCGAAGGCGGCCGACUAAAACGCGCCCGACGGUGAGGGACGAAAGCUGGGGGAGCGAACGGGAUUAGAUAUGAAGUUGAGUUUUUGCCAGCUUCACUAGAUACCCCGGUAGUCC